GACGAACGCUGGCGGCGUGCUUAACACAUGCAAGUCGAACGGAAAGGCCCUGCUUUUGUGGGGUGCUCGAGUGGCGAACGGGUGAGUAACACGUGAGUAACCUGCCCUUGACUUUGGGAUAACUUCAGGAAACUGGGGCUAAUACCGGAUAGGAGCUCCUGCUGCAUGGUGGGGGUUGGAAAGUUUCGGCGGUUGGGGAUGGACUCGCGGCUUAUCAGCUUGUUGGUGGGGUAGUGGCUUACCAAGGCUUUGACGGGUAGCCGGCCCUGGAGGGUGACCGGCCACAUUGGGACUGGGAUAACGCCCCGGCUCCUACCGGGGGCAGCAGUGGGGAAUAAUGCACCAUGGGCGGAAGCCUGAUGCAGCAACGCCGCGUGCGGGAUGACGGCCUUCGGGUUGUAAACCGCUUUCGCCUGUGACGAAGCGUGAGUGACGGUAAUGGGUAAAGAAGCACCGGCUAACUACGUG
RNAcentral lists this ribosomal RNA (468 nucleotides) under uncultured bacterium. RNAcentral's name for it is "partial 16S ribosomal RNA". It matches the Rfam family "Bacterial small subunit ribosomal RNA", at positions 28 to 507 of the family's 1533-position model. The record is from RNAcentral.